Molecule: long non-coding RNA, 2678 nt
Filed under: Hordeum vulgare
Lineage: Eukaryota; Viridiplantae; Streptophyta; Magnoliopsida; Poales; Poaceae
Description: long non-coding RNA (HVUL_LNC007929)
Source: RNAcentral
UGUAACUACAAGUUAUGGUGUCAUGUCAUGAAAGGCAAAAUUGCAUCAAUUUUAAGAGGUUUUUUAUGAUUGAUAUCAAAAUCACUAACGAGAUAAUGACUACUGACGGUGGUAAUGUGUUUACUCCUAACAUGUGGGUUCAAAAAUGCUAACGACCCCAAAAAUGUUUUGAAAGGACAACUUUAAGUAGUGAAGAUUAUAGCUAUUUUGACUGUCCACGAAAUCACUUUGAGUGUGAGAAAAGAUGCACCACUGAACGACUAAUAUCUGAAAGAUGGCUAGAUAAUCUAGUUAAUGCUCAAUAAGUAACGUGUUUCUGAAUAUAUAAAAAUGUUGGAAUCUCUGAAAAUCCACACUUUUAUGUGAAUGCGGAUCAAAACAUCAUCACUAGCUUAGGAAGUUCUAAUAUCUACUAUGUGGUGAGUUUGAGUACGUGACACCUUCAGAGUUCCCAAUAGCUAGUCUUUAGAUGUUGACAUGUCCAAGAUUAUUAAGUUGGAACAUUAAGGCAAGGUUCGAGUAGCGCCAAGUCCAUCCUUUUGAAUGUUGGAACUACCACGCCGGUGUUAUUAUCUGUGAGUAUGCUCUAUGUCCAUGAAUGCGAGUGGUUCUAUUUUUGUAUUGACACUUCCAAGUCACUAAAUCCAUGGUUACUUUUGCCAGAUUUAUCUCUAUUCUCCAAGUAGUACCCCUUCGUCGACUUUUUCUCAAACAUAUUUGUUCUCUCCAAGUAAUAUUCCUUCAUUUCUCUGGGCAAGUUCGUUCAAUAUGAGGAUAGCGUUGAUACAAAGAGACUGAGUCAUAGUUGAGCUCUAAGAGGAAAAAACCUAUGGCCAAAAUGCAGGAAUAGGAAACGACAAAGGAUUGGAAUGUCAUGCAUAUUUGAAUCAUACAAAAUUGUUGAUUGUGUAACUGCCUAGUAGGAAAAACAAAUAAAUCUUUCAAAGAGGUUGGGGUGGAUGUUAGAAUUCCUAUGAAUUAUAAUGGAAAUGGAUCCUUAGGAAAAGUUUCGAUGGGAAUCGAACAAUGGGAAUGGAAUAUACUAGAAGAGUUGAGCGCGCUUGGUGUUAUUGAGUUUUCAUAAUAUAUUUACUCCCUCUAUUUCAAAAUUUUGGAUGCAUUUGUUUUUUGAAAAGCCAAACCUCUUUAAUUUUAAUUAAAUUUAUAAAGAAAUAUAUCAAUAUCGAUAAUAUCAAACCGGUGUCAUUCGUUUCAUCAUGAGAUGAAUUUCAUAUUUUAUUUAUUUAAUAUUAUGGAUGUCGAUAUUUUUCGCUCUAAACUUGGUCAAUGUUAAAGGAAUUUCUCUUUUCAAAAGAUAAUACACCUUAUAUUUUGGAACCGACGGAGUAUUUCGUUUGGCAAGUUAGAGAAAUGAUGGAGUGUGUUUUAUUUAAAUUUAUAAUGUGGUGUUUUUGGUGGGCCUUUUAUGGUGUGAUUGUGGGUUAUGUGCUAACCAACUCAUACUUAUAUGAAAAAAUCUACAUCAAUUGCUACAUGUACUAUAUAUCACAUGUUUGUGCUUCUUUUUCUAGGUGUCGAGAGGGCGCAUGGGGUUGAUAUGUUUUUAUAUGCUGGUUGUUGCCAAUUGAUUUGUAAAACCAUUGAACCGGUUAAAAUAUGAACUAAAUCUAGAAUCGAGUACCUUAAUGAAAUGGGAGAGCUUUAAUAUUAGAGUGUAGUGAAUUAAAAAGUAAAAUGAGAGAGCUCAUUAAGAAAUUGUUUACCUCGUCAAAAUUGAAUGACCAUAUUUAAAUUGAAGAUCUCAAUUGAUUAAGAGGCCUCUAAACUUAGACAACAUAAUGUAUUACACAUAUAGAUGAGUGACCCAAUUUCAUUUCCUUGAGAAAUUGUUGACACCAUAAAAAUUGGGUGACCAAAUUUUAAUUACAGACCUCAACUGAACGUGGGCUCUUCAGAACUAGGGAGAAUAGUGUUAUACACUAUGGGGAUAAAACCCUAUGGAUUCUAAUUCUCUAGUAUCCCUGUGAAGAUCCUUUGAAUCCAGAAAGCCCUUAAGACCUCUUUGAUCGUGGAACUAAAAAAAAUGCAAGAAUAGUAAAACACAUAGGAACAGAAUGUCAUUCUCACUCGAAUCCUACAAAAUUUGAGUUUGUUUAAUUGCAUCAUGGAAAAAACAACGGAAUUUUCGCAAAAACUUAGAGUGGAUGGUAGGUUUACUAUGGAAUGUAGUACAAACGAUUCCUUAGGAAACAAAUCCUAUAGGAUCCAAUUCCAUGAAUAAAAUGAUAAACAUAUAAUUUCUAAGGAUCUAGAUCCUUCAAAAAUCCUAUGGAAGUCCUUUGAAUAAAAAAUCCAUGGCAAUGUUCCCCGUUGGGUGAAGAUUAAAAGUUGCAACCCCCACAAGGAGGCUCGCCGGUUCAUGCUUUGUAUUAGGGCUAGUUUCUAGAUGAUAGUACCGUACUAGUACCAUUUAAUCUUCGGGUGGAUGUAAACUUUAUACGGACACAUAAAGUUUUCAUGCCUUGCAAGAGAUCUAAAAUAGGCUAAUAUAUGCUCAUAAACUCGGGAGCGACAUUUCUGCUCCCGGGAUCAUCUGCACCCCCGUUCAUGAAAAAUUCAACAAACCCUAAUUUUUGUGUGUGAUAGUAUAUGCCACUUAGAAUAUGUUAGCUUCGACCAACAAAAAUAUUACUCCACUUAUUUGACUUGAUGAGGUG